AUUAAUACCGCAUGAGACCUGAGGGUGAAAGCGGGGGAUCGCAAGACCUCGCGCUGUUGGAGCGGCCGAUAUCAGAUUAGGUAGUUGGUGGGGUAAAAGCCUACCAAGCCGACGAUCUGUAGCUGGUCUGAGAGGACGACCAGCCACACUGGGACUGAGACGCGGCCCAGACUCCUACGGGAGGCAGCAGUGGGGAAUUUUGGACAAUGGGCGCAAGCCUGAUCCAGCCAUGCCGCGUGCGGGAAGAAGGCCUUCGGGUUGUAAACCGCUUUUGUCAGGGAAGAAAUCCUUUGAGCUAAUACCUCGGGGGGAUGACGGUACCUGAAGAAUAAGCACCGGCUAACUACGUGCCAGCAGCCGCGGUAAUACGUAGGGUGCAAGCGUUAAUCGGAAUUACUGGGCGUAAAGCGUGCGCAGGCGGUUGUGCAAGACAGGUGUGAAAUCCCCGGGCUUAACCUGGGAACUGCACUUGUGACUGCACAGCUGGAGUACGGCAGAGGGGGAUGGAAUUCCGCGUGUAGCAGUGAAAUGCGUAGAUAUGCGGAGGAACACCGAUGGCGAAGGCAGUCCCCUGGGCCUGUACUGACGCUCAUGCACGAAAGCGUGGGGAGCAAACAGGAUUAGAUACCCUGGUAGUCCACGCCCU
Molecule: ribosomal RNA, 646 nt
Filed under: uncultured beta proteobacterium
Lineage: Bacteria; Pseudomonadati; Pseudomonadota; Betaproteobacteria
Description: bacterial SSU rRNA
Rfam family: Bacterial small subunit ribosomal RNA
Source: RNAcentral